GGUAAGGUGACUCAGUGGUAGAGUGCUUGCCUUGCAUGCAUGCCGCCCUGGGUUCGAUUCCUCAGCACCA
Molecule: non-coding RNA, 70 nt
Organism: Dipodomys ordii (Ord's kangaroo rat)
Lineage: Eukaryota; Metazoa; Chordata; Mammalia; Rodentia; Heteromyidae
Source: Rfam